GGUCUCCUGGUGCUUACCACAGGCUGUGUUCUUACACUGACUGUAUAGAAAAAGGAGGCAGAGUGAGCCAACCCCAUAUACACCUCAGCCCAGGCCUUGCACCUAUGAAUGGGGGACAUGG
Molecule: small nucleolar RNA, 121 nt
Filed under: Dasypus novemcinctus (nine-banded armadillo)
Lineage: Eukaryota; Metazoa; Chordata; Mammalia; Cingulata; Dasypodidae
Description: Small nucleolar RNA SNORA51 (ENSDNOG00000027328.1)
Rfam family: Small nucleolar RNA SNORA51
About the family: ACA51 is a member of the H/ACA class of snoRNA that guide the sites of modification of uridines to pseudouridines.
Source: RNAcentral